UGGGGAAUUUUGGACAAUGGGCGAAAGCCUGAUCCAGCAAUGCCGCGUGUGUGAAGAAGGCCUUCGGGUUGUAAAGCACUUUUGUCCGGAAAGAAAUCCUUGGCUCUAAUACAGUCGGGGGAUGACGGUACCGGAAGAAUAAGCACCGGCUAACUACGUGCCAGCAGCCGCGGUAAUACGUAGGGUGCAAGCGUUAAUCGGAAUUACUGGGCGUAAAGCGUGCGCAGGCGGUUUGCUAAGACCGAUGUGAAAUCCCCGGGCUCAACCUGGGAACUGCAUUGGUGACUGGCAGGCUAGAGUAUGGCAGAGGGGGGUAGAAUUCCACGUGUAGCAGUGAAAUGCGUAGAGAUGUGGAGGAAUACCGAUGGCGAAGGCAGCCCCCUGGGCCAAUACUGACGCUCAUGCACGAAAGCGUGGGGAGCAAAACAGGAUUAGAUACCCCUGGUAGUCCACGCCCUAAACGAUGUCAACUAGUUGUUGGGGAUUCAUUUCCUUAGUAACGUAGCUAACGCGUGAAGUUGACCGCCUGGGGAGUAC
This 537-nucleotide ribosomal RNA is filed under the name uncultured bacterium. Its description in RNAcentral is "partial 16S ribosomal RNA". It matches the Rfam family "Bacterial small subunit ribosomal RNA", at positions 355 to 883 of the family's 1533-position model. The record is from RNAcentral.